CAUCCCAGUUCGGAUCGCAGGCUGCAACCCGCCUGCGUGAAGUUGGAAUCGCUAGUAAUCGCGGAUCAGCAUGCCGCGGUGAAUACGUUCCCGGGCCUUGUACACACCGCCCGUCACACCAUGAGAGUCGGGAACACCCGAAGUCCGUAGCCUAACCGCAAGGGGGCGCGGCCGAAGGUGGGUUCGAUAAUUGGGGUGAAGUCGUAACAAGGUACC
This 216-nucleotide ribosomal RNA is filed under the name uncultured bacterium. RNAcentral describes it as "partial 16S ribosomal RNA". It matches the Rfam family "Bacterial small subunit ribosomal RNA", at positions 1284 to 1500 of the family's 1533-position model. The record is from RNAcentral.